This 654-nucleotide ribosomal RNA is filed under the name uncultured archaeon. Its description in RNAcentral is "bacterial SSU rRNA". It matches the Rfam family "Archaeal small subunit ribosomal RNA", at positions 508 to 1160 of the family's 1478-position model. The record is from RNAcentral.
GCCUAAAGCGUCCGUAGCCGGCUUUGUAAGUUUUCGGUUAAAUCUAUAUGCUCAACAUAUAGGCUGCCGGGAAUACUGCAAAGCUAGGGAGUGGGAGAGGUAGACGGUACUCCGUAGGAAGGGGUAAAAUCCUUUGAUCUAUGGAUGACCACCUGUGGCGAAGGCGGUCUACCAGAACACGUCUGACGGUGAGGGAUGAAAGCUGGGGGAGCAAACCGGAUUAGAUACCCGGGUAGUCCCAGCUGUAAACGAUGCAAACUCAGUGAUGCAUUGGCUUGUGGCCAGUGCAGUGCCGCAGGGAAGCCGUUAAGUUUGCCGCCUGGGAAGUACGUACGCAAGUAUGAAACUUAAAGGAAUUGGCGGGGGAGCACCACAAGGGGUGAAGCCUGCGGUUUAAUUGGAGUCAACGCCAGAAAUCUUACCCGGAGAGACAGCAGGAUGAAGGUCAAGCUGAAGACUUUACCAGACAAGCUGAGAAGUGGUGCAUGGCCGUCGCCAGCUCGUGCCGUGAGGUGUCCUGUUAAGUCAGGUAACGAGCGAGAUCCUUGCCUCUAGUUGCUACCAUUACUCUCAGGAGUAGUGGAGCGAAUUAGCGGGACUGCCGUAGUUAAUACGGAGGAAGGAGAGGGCCACGGCAGGUCAGUAUGCCCCGAA